Molecule: ribosomal RNA, 253 nt
Filed under: uncultured bacterium
Lineage: Bacteria
Description: partial 16S ribosomal RNA
Rfam family: Bacterial small subunit ribosomal RNA
Source: RNAcentral
UACGUAGGGGGCAAGCGUUGUCCGGAUUUAUUGGGCGUAAAGAGCGUGUAGGCGGCCAGGUAGGUCCGUUGUGAAAACUGGAGGCUUAACCUCCAGCUGUCGAUGGAAACCAUCUGGCUAGAGUCCGGAAGAGGAGAGUGGAAUUCCUGGUGUAGCGGUGAAAUGCGCAGAUAUCAGGAAGAGCACCCGUGGCGAAGGCGGCUCUCUGGGACGGUACUGACGCUGAGACGCGAAAGCGUGGGGAGCGAACAGG